RNA transcript from Ananas comosus (pineapple), 2957 nucleotides. It is a transcript of the gene named sucrose synthase 4, with no coding region annotated. The transcript has 16 exons. The record is from RefSeq and is a predicted model, not a curated record. Lineage: Eukaryota; Viridiplantae; Streptophyta; Magnoliopsida; Poales; Bromeliaceae.
CCCCACUCCCACUUCCCUCUCCUCUCUCUCUCUCUCUCUCUUCCCUCAUCCUUUCCUCUCUCUCUCUAAAAGGCUCUUUUCUCUCUCUAGCCAUGGCGGCUCCCAAGCUCGCGCGCGUCCCCAGCUUCCGCGACAGGCUCGAGGACACCCUCACCGUCCACCGCAACGAGCUCGUCUCCCUCUUAUCCAGGUACAUGGGGGAGGGGAAGGGGAUCCUCCAACCCCACCACCUCCUCGACGCCCUCGCCACCAUCGAAGACAGCACCAAGCUCUCCGAGGGCCCCUUCUUCGAGUUCCUCAAAUCCGCUCAGGAAGCUAUAGUUCUACCCCCCUUUGUGGCCAUAGCCGUGCGGCCGAGGCCUGGCGUGUGGGAGUUUGUGCGGGUGAACGUCUACGAGCUCACCGUCGAUCAGUUGAGCGUGUCAGAGUACCUCCGAUUCAAAGAAGAGCUCGCCGAUGGCCAGGUCACUAAUCAAUUUGUGCUCGAACUCGAUUUGGAGCCCUUUAAUGCGUCUUUCCCACGACCGAGUCGAUCGUCGUCGAUCGGGAACGGUGUUCUGUUCCUCAACCGCCACCUUUCUUCGAUAAUGUUUCGAAACAGGGAUUCCUUGGAGCCCCUCCUCAACUUCCUACGUGCACACAAGUACAAGGGACAUGUGAUGAUGCUGAAUGAUAGAGUACAGAGCUUGUCCAGGCUUCAAUCUACCUUGGCAAAGGCUGAGGAGUAUUUGUCUAAGCUCCCGCCAGAGACGCCAUACGCACAAUUUGCAUAUCAGUUCCAAGAGAUGGGCUUGGAAAAAGGUUGGGGUGAUACAGCUCAACGUGUGUUGGAGAUGAUUCAUCUUCUACUGGACAUUCUUCAAGCCCCUGAUCCCUCUACUUUGGAGACAUUCUUGGGGAGGAUCCCGAUGGUGUUCAAUGUCGUUAUUGUUUCUCCACAUGGGUACUUUGGCCAAGCUAAUGUGCUUGGAAUGCCGGACACUGGAGGGCAGGUUGUCUAUAUAUUGGAUCAAGUUCGUGCUCUAGAGAAUGAGAUGCUUGUAAGGAUCAAAAAGCAGGGGCUUGAUGUUGAUCCCAAGAUUCUUAUAGUGACUAGAUUAAUACCGGACGCGAAAGGGACAACAUGCAAUCAACGGCUUGAACGAAUCAUUGGCACGCAGCAUACCUUCAUCUUGCGUGUGCCUUUUAGAAGUGAGAAAGGAAUUCUUAAGAAAUGGAUUUCAAGAUUUGAUGUCUGGCCUUAUUUGGAGACCUUUGCAAUGGAUGCAGCUAGUGAGAUUGCCGCGGAAUUACAGGGCACUCCUGAUCUAAUUAUUGGAAACUACAGUGAUGGAAAUCUUGUUGCCUCUUUGCUUUCUUACAAACUAGGAAUUACUCAGUGCAAUAUAGCUCAUGCUCUCGAGAAAACGAAGUAUCCGGAGUCAGAUAUAUACUGGAAGAACUUUGAAGAAAAAUACCAUUUCUCAUGCCAGUUCACUGCAGAUCUAAUUGCAAUGAACAAUGCAGAUUUUAUAAUCACUAGCACCUACCAAGAAAUUGCUGGAAGCAAAAACACGGUUGGACAGUAUGAGAGCCAUACUGCUUUUACUCUCCCUGGUCUAUAUCGUGUUGUCCAUGGCAUUGAUGUUUUCGACCCUAAGUUCAAUAUUGUCUCUCCUGGAGCAGAUAUGUCUAUUUAUUUUCCUUACUCAGAAAAGGAGAAGAGGCUUACUUCACUUCAUGGUUCAAUUGAGAAGCUGCUGUAUGAUCCAGAGCAAAAUGACGUGCACAUUGGUUGGUUGGAUGACCGGUCUAAGCCCAUCAUCUUCUCCAUGGCCAGGCUUGACCGCGUGAAAAACAUAACUGGACUGGUUGAAUUGUAUGGUAAAUGCGCCAAACUGCGUGAAACGGUUAACCUAGUUGUAGUUGCUGGUUACCAUGAUGUGAAGAAAUCUAAAGAUAGGGAGGAAAUCCAAGAAAUCGAGAAAAUGCACGAACUUAUAAAGACAUACGAUUUGUUCGGCCAAUUUCGGUGGAUCUCUGCCCAGACAAACAAGGCAAGAAACGGUGAGCUUUAUCGAUACAUAGCCGAUACUGGAGGUGCUUUUGUGCAGCCUGCGUUAUAUGAGGCCUUUGGACUUACUGUGGUGGAGGCUAUGACUUGUGGUCUUCCAACAUUUGCCACUUGCCAUGGAGGCCCUGCGGAGAUUAUUGAGCAUGGAGUAUCGGGUUUUCAUAUCGACCCGUAUCAUCCUGACCAGGCUGCUGCCGUCAUGGUUGAGUUCUUUGAACAGAGCAAGAAAGACCCUAGCAAUUGGAUUAAGAUAUCUGAAGGUGGUCUCAAAAGAAUCUAUGAAAGGUAUACAUGGAAGAUCUAUUCUGAAAGGUUAAUGACACUCGCUGGGGUUUACGGCUUCUGGAAGUAUGUGUCGAAGCUUGAAAGGCGUGAGACUCGGCGCUAUCUCGAGAUGUUCUACAUAUUAAAGUUCCGGGAACUGGUACGUCCGACCAGUUCCUUUAUAUUCAGCUAGAAAUCAGCUUUUGUGAAGAAAGGUAAAUUGACGAAUAAGUGUCUUGUUUUUAAAACGUCAACAAAAUUCUUGCGCAAUUUUUGGUGAAAUCUGUUCCGCUCGCAGUUGACGAUGCACACUAACCUUGGAGAGUUCUAAAUAACAUCUGCGGAUUUGUAUAUAAAUUGUCCUAAAAUGCAGAUAAUAACACGAAGAGUUGUGUCAACGUCUCUUCAGUAAAACAUGCUAUUAUAAUGCCUAUCGGCAAACCCUGUUAGUUACAGCUUGUUUAAUCUCUUUUUUAUGCUUCCACGUAUGCCUCAAAUAAGAUUGAUGACUUCAUGUAUCUGCAUGUGUUGUAGGUUUGAUGCAUGCAUUGAGGUCUUAUUUGUAUUGUAUGUUACAGAAGAAUCAAACAUGGUAUAUUAUUUGUUAAAUCAAUGAGUGAUCACUUUGUUGGAUGGAUCA